UCGAACGAAGCACUUUAUUUGAUUUCCUUCGGGACUGAUUAUUUUGUGACUGAGUGGCGGACGGGUGAGUAACGCGUGGGUAACCUGCCUUGUACAGGGGGAUAACAGUUGGAAACGGCUGCUAAUACCGCAUAAGCGCACAGCAUCGCAUGAUGCAGUGUGAAAAAUUCCGGUGGUAUAAGAUGGACCCGCGUUGGAUUAGCUAGUUGGUGAGGUAACGGCCCACCAAGGCGACGAUCCAUAGCCGACCUGAGAGGGUGACCGGCCACAUUGGGACUGAGACACGGCCCAAACUCCUACGGGAGGCAGCAGUGGGGAAUAUUGCACAAUGGGCGAAAGCCUGAUGCAGCGACGCCGCGUGAGCGAAGAAGUAUUUCGGUAUGUAAAGCUCUAUCAGCAGGGAAGAUAAUGACGGUACCUGACUAAGAAGCACCGGCUAAAUACGUGCCAGCAGCCGCGGUAAUACGUAUGGUGCAAGCGUUAUCCGGAUUUACUGGGUGUAAAGGGAGCGCAGGCGGUGCGGCAAGUCUGAUGUGAAAGCCCGGGGCUCAACCCCGGUACUGCAUUGGAAACUGUCGUACUAGAGUGUCGGAGGGGUAAGCGGAAUUCCUAGUGUAGCGGUGAAAUGCGUAGAUAUUAGGAGGAACACCAGUGGCGAAGG
Molecule: ribosomal RNA, 661 nt
Filed under: uncultured bacterium
Lineage: Bacteria
Description: bacterial SSU rRNA
Rfam family: Bacterial small subunit ribosomal RNA
Source: RNAcentral